GACUCUCGGCAACGGAUAUCUCGGCUCACGCAUCGAUGAAGAACGUAGCAAAAUGCGAUACUUGGUGUGAAUUGCAGAAUCCCGUGAACCAUCGAGUUUUUGAACGCAAGUUGCGCCCGAAACCAUUUGGUCGAGGGCACGUCUGCCUGGGCGUCACGU
Molecule: ribosomal RNA, 159 nt
Filed under: Doronicum corsicum
Lineage: Eukaryota; Viridiplantae; Streptophyta; Magnoliopsida; Asterales; Asteraceae
Description: 5.8S ribosomal RNA
Rfam family: 5.8S ribosomal RNA
About the family: 5.8S ribosomal RNA (5.8S rRNA) is a component of the large subunit of the eukaryotic ribosome. It is transcribed by RNA polymerase I as part of the 45S precursor that also contains 18S and 28S rRNA.
Source: RNAcentral